CCUACGGGUGGCAGCAGUGAGGAAUAUUGGUCAAUGGGCUUACGCCUGAACCAGCCAAGUCGCGUGAGGGAAGACUGCCCUAUGGGUUGUAAACCUCUUUUGUCAGGGAGCAACGCCGGCUACGUGUAGCCGGACUGAGAGUACCCGAAGAAAAAGCAUCGGCUAACUCCGUGCCAGCAGCCGCGGUAACACGGAGGAUGCGAGCGUUAUCCGGAUUUAUUGGGUUUAAAGGGUGCGUAGGCGGAAUGCCAAGCCAGCGGUAAAAUCGCGGGGCUCAACCUCGUCCGGCCGUUGAAACUGGCGUUCUUAGGGGGGCGGAAGGUGUGCGGAAUGCGUGGUGUAGCGGUGAAA
Molecule: ribosomal RNA, 351 nt
Filed under: uncultured bacterium
Lineage: Bacteria
Description: partial 16S ribosomal RNA
Rfam family: Bacterial small subunit ribosomal RNA
Source: RNAcentral